RNAcentral lists this ribosomal RNA (393 nucleotides) under uncultured bacterium. RNAcentral describes it as "partial 16S ribosomal RNA". It matches the Rfam family "Bacterial small subunit ribosomal RNA", at positions 523 to 918 of the family's 1533-position model. The record is from RNAcentral.
AUACGGAGGAUGCAAGCGUUAUCCGGAUUUAUUGGGUUUAAAGGGUGCGUAGGCGGUUUGCUAAGCGGGAGGUGAAAUGCCGCGGCUCAACGUCGGAAGUGCUUCCCGAACUGGGGGACUUGAAUGCCUCUGCCGUGGGAGGAAGGGGUAGUGUAGCGGUGAAAUGCUUAGAGAUUACACAGAACACCUAUUGCGAAGGCAUCACACGAAGCGGUGAUUGACCCUGAGGCACGAAAGCGUGAGGAUCAAACAGGAUUAGAUACCCUGGUAGUCCUCGCCGUAAACGAUGAUGGCUAACCGCUGGGAUCAGCAGGUCAGUGCCCAAGCGAAAACGAUAAGCCAUCCCCCUGGGGAGUACGGCCGCAAGAAUGAAACUCAAAGGAAUUGGCGGGG